GGUAGCUCAGUUGGUAGAGCAGCGGAUUGAAAAUCCGCGUGUCGGUGGUUCGAAUCCGCCCC
This 62-nucleotide transfer RNA is filed under the name Alphaproteobacteria bacterium. RNAcentral describes it as "tRNA-Phe". It matches the Rfam family "tRNA", at positions 6 to 65 of the family's 71-position model. From Rfam's summary of the family: Transfer RNA (tRNA) molecules are approximately 80 nucleotides in length. Their secondary structure includes four short double-helical elements and three loops (D, anti-codon, and T loops). Lineage: Bacteria; Pseudomonadati; Pseudomonadota; Alphaproteobacteria. The record is from RNAcentral.